AGGUACCUCAGAUGAGUGGAAUUAUGCAGUAUUUGUCCUUUUGUGUGUACAACUAAUUUGACAGGCAGUAUGAUAAGGAACAAUCUGAAUGACACGUAAACAGGAGGGGGUAAAUUCCAAGCACAGCCUGAAUGAGAAGUACAACUCAUUUCCUGUAACCUAGAUGCCUUUUUAACACAUCUAUGCAGUCUCCAUGUGAAACCAGGUGCUGUUCCCAAAGGAGAAAACACUGCCCUCCAGUGGUCUUCAAUGAAGAAAUGGAAAUAGUUUCAGGUACCAUGAUAGCAGCAUUUACAUGAAACAUGGUAUAUUUAUCUAGUCUCAUUUUUGGCUGUAUUUCUUAAGCUGAAACACGUCUACAACUGAGCAUAAGGACAAAAUUUCCAAGAUAAAUUCUAAUAGGUGGAAACCAGGCUUCUUGGAAGACUUCAAACUAUGCCAAAUGGUCUGAUUUCACCAUAGAGAAUGUUAUACUAUUAAUUGCCAAUUUGCAUAUGUGUGCAGCUGCUGUUUUGGCUCUGAACUCAAUCCGAUAAGCUUGCUGGAGGUAUCGCAGAGCACUUGGCAGCUUUCCUAUUUGAAAAGAAAGCCUCUCCCCUCUACAGAACAGCUGAUCGUCUAUCAGCGAUAGACC
This is a long non-coding RNA of Homo sapiens (human), 634 nucleotides long. Ensembl annotates it as PSMD14 divergent transcript. Its record names the gene PSMD14-DT. NCBI's taxonomy places the organism in Eukaryota, Metazoa, Chordata, Mammalia, Primates, Hominidae. The record is from Ensembl.